CAGGUCUUGACAUCCCGCUGACCGGCAUGGAGACAUGUCUUUCCCUUCGGGGACAGCGGUGACAGGUGGUGCAUGGUUGUCGUCAGCUCGUGUCGUGAGAUGUUGGGUUAAGUCCCGCAACGAGCGCAACCCUUGAUCUUAGUUGCCAGCAUUCAGUUGGGCACUCUAAGGUGACUGCCGGUGACAAACCGGAGGAAGGUGGGGAUGACGUCAAAUCAUCAUGCCCCUUAUGACCUGGGCUACACACGUGCUACAAUGGACGGUACAAAGGGCUGCGAACCCGCGAGGGGGAGCCAAUCCCAUAAAACCGUUCCCAGUUCGGAUUGCAGGCUGCAACUCGCCUGCAUGAAGCCGGAAUCGCUAGUAAUCGUGGAUCAGCAUGCCACGGUGAAUACGUUCCC
RNAcentral lists this ribosomal RNA (401 nucleotides) under uncultured soil bacterium. RNAcentral describes it as "bacterial SSU rRNA". It matches the Rfam family "Bacterial small subunit ribosomal RNA", at positions 975 to 1375 of the family's 1533-position model. The record is from RNAcentral.